This 250-nucleotide ribosomal RNA is filed under the name uncultured bacterium. RNAcentral's name for it is "partial 16S ribosomal RNA". It matches the Rfam family "Bacterial small subunit ribosomal RNA", at positions 525 to 774 of the family's 1533-position model. The record is from RNAcentral.
ACGUAGGUGGCAAGCGUUAUCCGGAUUUACUGGGCGUAAAGAGGGCGCAGGCGGCCUUUCAAGUCGGAUGUAAAAUCUCCUGGCUUAACUGGGAGGGCGCAUUCGAAACUGUUGGGCUUGAGUGCAGCAGAGGAAAGCGGAAUUCCCGGUGUAGUGGUGAAAUGCGUAGAUAUCGGGAGGAACACCAGUGGCGAAGGCGGCUUUCUGGGCUGCCACUGACGCUGAGGCCCGAAAGCGUGGGGAGCAAACA